RNAcentral lists this ribosomal RNA (500 nucleotides) under uncultured bacterium. RNAcentral's name for it is "partial 16S ribosomal RNA". It matches the Rfam family "Bacterial small subunit ribosomal RNA", at positions 30 to 523 of the family's 1533-position model. The record is from RNAcentral.
AUUGAACGCUGGCGGAAUGCUUUACACAUGCAAGUUGAACGGCAGCACGGACUUCGGUCUGGUGGCGAGUGGUGAACGGGUGAGUAAUGUAUCGGAACGUGCCCAGUCGUGGGGGAUAACGUAGUGAAAAUUACGCUAAUACCGCAUACGAUCUAUGGAUGAAAGCGGGGGAUCGCAAGACCUCGCGCGAUUGGAGCGGCCGAUAACAGAUUAGGUAGUUGGUGGGGUAAAGGCCCACCAAGCCAACGAUCUGUAGCUGGUCUGAGAGGACGACCAGCCACACUGGAACUGAGACACGGUCCAGACUCCUACGGGAGGCAGCAGUGGGGAAUUUUGGACAAUGGGCGAAAGCCUGAUCCAGCCAUUCCGCGUGCAGGAUGAAGGCCCUCGGGUUGUAAACUGCUUUUGUACAGAACGAAAAGGUUUCUACUAAUACUAGGAGCUCAUGACGGUACUGUAAGAAUAAGCACCGGCUAACUCCGUGCCAGCCGCCGCCGUAA